AAUCAACGCUGGCGGCGUGCCUCAGACAUGCAAGUCGAACGAUUAAAGCUCUCUUCGGAGAGUGUAUAGAGUGGCGCACGGGUGAGUAACACGUAAGUAAUCUACCUUUGAGUGGGGAAUAACAUCGGGAAACCGAUGCUAAUACCGCAUAAUGCAGCGGCAUCGCAAGAUGACAGUUGUUAAAGAUUUAUCGCUUGAAGAGGAGCUUGCGGCAGAUUAGCUAGUUGGUAAGGUAAUGGCUUACCAAGGCUACGAUCUGUAACCGGUCUAAGAGGACGGUCGGUCACACUGACACUGAAUAACGGGUCAGACCCCUACGGGAGGCAGCAGUCGGGAAUUUUGGGCAAUGGGCGAAAGCCUGACCCAGCAACGCCGCGUGAAGGAUGAAGUAUUUCGGUAUGUAAACUUCG
Molecule: ribosomal RNA, 410 nt
Filed under: uncultured bacterium
Lineage: Bacteria
Description: bacterial SSU rRNA
Rfam family: Bacterial small subunit ribosomal RNA
Source: RNAcentral